CAACAAUACAAAUUCUUUUAGCAUAAACCUGGUGCGAUCACGUUUGAUGACAGGCAGUCAGCUGACAAGCACGGUUAUUGGAGUCGUGACAAAGGAGCCAGAUAAUGAGAAGAGCUUAAAGAACCUACAUGAAAUAGGUACCGCUGGAGUUGUGGUUCAAGUUACUGGCACAAACUGGCCUCGGCCCGCGUACACACUGUUGGUGACGGGAUUUGCAGGUUUCGCUUGGACUCCAUCAUCCAGGAACACCCCUAUCCUGUGGGUGCUGUGACGCAGCUAGAUGAUAUCAAGGAGAUCAGCAGUGAAGGUGAUGACACACAACAUGCUGAGCUCAUUUCAGAAUUCAAGGAAGCGGCUCGCAAGUUGAUUGAACUUCUUGAUGUAUCUGUGCCAGCAGUUGCCAAACUGAAGGAGCUGGUGG
Molecule: long non-coding RNA, 421 nt
Organism: Penaeus monodon (black tiger shrimp)
Lineage: Eukaryota; Metazoa; Arthropoda; Malacostraca; Decapoda; Penaeidae
Exons: 4
Source: RefSeq, a predicted model, not a curated record